This 257-nucleotide long non-coding RNA is filed under the name Lathyrus oleraceus (garden pea). Its description in RNAcentral is "Pisum sativum (pea) long non-coding RNA (PSAT_LNC001144)". The record is from RNAcentral. Lineage: Eukaryota; Viridiplantae; Streptophyta; Magnoliopsida; Fabales; Fabaceae.
ACCUCACACUGGGGCAAUCUAGGCAAAAAUUAGGGAUUUGGCAAGUAACUGCAUCUUGACAAGACUGUGCUCUAUAUCUGUCAUCCGUCAGGGAUUCUCGAUUCAUCGUCGACUGAAGCUUUGAAUACAUCGAAAAUUCAGAAUGGUAGAGGAAAGGUCAUUAUGUUCAAUGUAGCCCUCUCCAAUAUAUAUCACCGAUUUCAAACUUGUACAGAUCUAUGGAGUCUCGCCCUUUGCAGACUACCAUUCCAUUACAU